Molecule: ribosomal RNA, 1491 nt
Filed under: uncultured Bordetella sp.
Lineage: Bacteria; Pseudomonadati; Pseudomonadota; Betaproteobacteria; Burkholderiales; Alcaligenaceae
Description: partial 16S-23S ribosomal RNA intergenic spacer
Rfam family: Bacterial small subunit ribosomal RNA
Source: RNAcentral
CCAGGUAGUAACAGAGGGUUCGAUUCUGGCUCAGAUUGAACGCUGGCAGGAUCGCUACACAUGCAAGUCGAACGGCAGCACGGACUUCGGUCAGUGGCGGUGGCGAACAGGUGAGUAAUGUAUCGGAACGUGCCUAGUAGCGGGGGAUAACUACGCGAAAGCGUAGCUAAUACCGCAUACGCCCUUCAGGGAAGCAGGGACCUUGGGCCUCGCACUAUUAGGCGGCCGAUAUCGGAUUAGCUAGUUGGUGGGGUAACGGCUCGCAAGGCGACGAUCCGUAGCUGGUUUGAGAGGACGACCAGCCACACUGGGACAGAGACACGGCCCAGACUCCUACGGGAGGCAGCAGUGGGGAAUUUUUGGACAAUGGGGAAACCCUGAUCCAGCCAUCCCGCGUGUACGAUGAAGGCCUUACGGAGUUAUGCUUUUGGCAGGAAAGAAACGGCACGGAUAAUACCCGUGCAACUGACAACCUGCAGAAUAACUUCCAGCUUCUUCACGUGCAGCAGCCGCGGUAAUACGUAGGGUGCAAGCGUUAAUCGGAAUUACUGGGCGUAAAGCGUGCGCGAGCGGUUCGGAAAAGCUGUGAAAUCCCAGGCUUAACUUUGGACUGCGGCCCCAACUACCGAGCUGAAGUGUGUCAGAGGGAGGUGGAAUUCCGCGUGUAGCAGUGAAAUGCGUAGAUAUGCGGAGGAGGAGGAACACCGAUGGCGAAGGCAGCCUCCUGGGAUAACACUGACGCUCAUGCACAGCAACGUGGGGAGCAAACAGGAUUAGAUACCCUGGUAGUCCACGCCCUAAACGAUGUCAACUAGCUGUGGGGCCUUCGGGCCUUGGUAGCGCAGCUAACGCGUGAAGUUGACCGCCUGGGGAGAGUACGGUCGCAAGAUUAAAACUCAAAGGAAUUGACGGGGAUUACUACGGCAGUGGAUGAUGUGGAUUAAUUCGAUGCAACGCGAAAAACCUUACCUACCCUUGUAUAUCUGGAAUCCCGAAGAGGUGGGAGUGCUCGCAAGAGAACCGGAACAUACAGGUGCUGCGUGGCUGUCCGAUACUCGUGUCGUGAAGAUAUUGGGUUACCGUCCCGCAACAAACCGCAACCCUUAUCUAUUAGUUGCUACGAAAGGGCACUCUAAUGAGACUGCCGGUGACUCUGUUGGAGAGGAAAGGUGAGACGACGUAAGUCCUGUUAUUUACUGCAAUUUAGGGCUUCACACACGUCAUACAAUGGUCGGGACAGAGGGUCGCCAACCCGCGAAGGGGAGCCGUCCCAGAAGCCGAUCGUAGUCUGGAUCGCAGUCUGCAACUCGACUGCGUGAAGUCAGAAUCGCUAGUAAUCGCGGAUCAACUUGUCGCGGUGAAUACGUUCCCGGGUCUUGUACACACCGCCCGUCACACCAUGGGAGUGGGUUUUACCAGAAGUAGUUAGCCUAACCGUAAGGGCGAUUACCACGGUAAGUUCAUGACUGGGGUGAAGUCGUAACAAGGUAA